This 495-nucleotide ribosomal RNA is filed under the name uncultured bacterium. Its description in RNAcentral is "partial 16S ribosomal RNA". It matches the Rfam family "Bacterial small subunit ribosomal RNA", at positions 28 to 507 of the family's 1533-position model. The record is from RNAcentral.
GACGAACGCUGGCGGCGUGCCUAAUACAUGCAAGUCGAACGCUGAAGGAGGAGCUUGCUUCUCUGGAUGAGUUGCGAACGGGUGAGUAACGCGUAGGUAACCUGCCUGGUAGCGGGGGAUAACUAUUGGAAACGAUAGCUAAUACCGCAUAAUAGUAGAUGUUGCAUGACAUUUGCUUAAAAGGUGCAGUUGCAUCACUACCAGAUGGACCUGCGUUGUAUUAGCUAGUUGGUGGGGUAAUGGCUCACCAAGGCGACGAUACAUAGCCGACCUGGGAGGGGGAUCGGCCACACUGGGAAUGAGACACGGGCCAGACUCCUACGGGAGGCAGCAGUAGGGAAUCUUCGGCAAUGGACGGAAGUCUGACCGAGCAACGCCGCGUGAGUGAAGAAGGGUUUCGGAUAGUAAAGAUCUGUUGUAAGAGAAGAACGAGAGUGAGAGUGGAAAGUUCACACUGUGAAGGUAUCUUACCAGAAAGGGACGGCUAACUACGUG